This 301-nucleotide ribosomal RNA is filed under the name uncultured bacterium. Its description in RNAcentral is "partial 16S ribosomal RNA". It matches the Rfam family "Bacterial small subunit ribosomal RNA", at positions 509 to 807 of the family's 1533-position model. The record is from RNAcentral.
CAGUCGCCGCGCGAAUACGGAGGGUGCAAGCGUUAUCCGGAUUUAUUGGGUUUAAAGGGUCCGUAGGCGGAUCUGUAAGUCAGUGGUGAAAUCUCACAGCUUAACUGUGAAACUGCCAUUGAUACUGCAGGUCUUGAGUAAAUUUGAAGUGGCUGGAAUAAGUAGUGUAGCGGUGAAAUGCAUAGAUAUUACUUAGAACACCAAUUGCGAAGGCAGGUCACUAAGAUUUAACUGACGCUGAUGGACGAAAGCGUGGGGAGCGAACAGGAUUAGAUACCCGUGUAGUCCCUGUCUCUUAUAC